GUGCUUAACAGGUUAUAAUGAAAGUUAAGGAUGCUACCAGACUUUUGGGUUAAAUUCCAGGUGUCAAUUUAUGUAUUCUUCGAUUCUCAAGUCAUGAUCUGUAUAUGAUGAAAGCAUCAAUAUGCAAGUAGAAAAUUGAAUUUUGGUUGUAACAGUGUGUUUUACUUAUUUAUUAAGAGUCCUAGCUUGAUAGGUACUCAACUAAAGGCCAACAGAGUAUUUUUUGGUUUGUGGUUUGCAAUUUUAUUUCACUUUCUUGAGUGUAGUCUCUGGUAACAUUCAUGUCUAUCAAACUUUGGAAGCUGUUUCAUUAUGACAAAUUCAAGCUCUAAUAUAUUUAAGGGGAGUCUGAACGAGAAGUUAGACGUUCAAUUUUCAGGAAGCUAGUGUGGCAUGUGUUUUCUCAGCCAAUGUUUUGGUAACUGAUUAUUCUUUUCACUCAGGCAUUUGAAAUUAUGCAAUGAAGAAGAAUAAUGAUAGUUAUCUCUUAUCUGAUUGCACCAUAAUUGUAUUGGUUUUUGUAAAACUAAAUUGGUGAUCUAUUGAUAUGGUG
This 553-nucleotide unclassified non-coding RNA is filed under the name Hevea brasiliensis (rubber tree). The record is from RNAcentral. Lineage: Eukaryota; Viridiplantae; Streptophyta; Magnoliopsida; Malpighiales; Euphorbiaceae.